UUGGAAGUAAAAGUCGUAACAAGGUCUCCGUUGGUGAACCAGCGGAGGGAUCAUUACUGAGUUACCGCUCUAUAACCCUUUGUGAACAUACCUAACCGUUGCUUCGGCGGGCAGGGGAAGCCUCUCGCGGGCCUCCCCUCCCGGCGCCGGCCCCCACCACGGGGACGGGGCGCCCGCCGGAGGAAACCAAACUCUAUUUACACGACGUCUCUUCUGAGUGGCACAAGCAAAUAAUUAAAACUUUUAACAACGGAUCUCUUGGUUCUGGCAUCGAUGAAGAACGCAGCGAAAUGCGAUAAGUAAUGUGAAUUGCAGAAUUCAGUGAAUCAUCGAAUCUUUGAACGCACAUUGCGCUCGCCAGCAUUCUGGCGAGCAUGCCUGUUCGAGCGUCAUUUCAACCCUCAAGCACCGCUUGGUUUUGGGGCCCCACGGCACACGUGGGCCCUUAAAGGUAGUGGCGGACCCUCCCGGAGCCUCCUUUGCGUAGUAACUAACGUCUCGCACUGGGAUCCGGAGGGACUCUUGCCGUAAAACCCCCCAAUUUUUUACAGGUUGACCUCGGAUCAGGUAGGAAUACCCGCUGAACUUAAGCAUAUCAAUA
This 601-nucleotide ribosomal RNA is filed under the name Colletotrichum acutatum. RNAcentral describes it as "eukaryotic LSU rRNA". The stretch from base 239 to 392 matches the Rfam family "5.8S ribosomal RNA". The record is from RNAcentral. Lineage: Eukaryota; Fungi; Ascomycota; Sordariomycetes; Glomerellales; Glomerellaceae.